AGGAGCCUGUGACUAUGGCCACUCGGUCUUGCAGUGGCAGAGGAGAGGGCGGCGGCGGCUGUGGUGGGUUGGAACCAGUGGUAGCGUUUGUAGUGGCCAUUUACGUCAACAAUUAUGUACAAGGUAGGACCCUUUCUCUUCUCUGCUUAUAAUCGGAGGGGGGAAAAUAUCUUUGAUGGCAUGAUGUAGUGGAUGACGCCAUCAAGAUAUUUUUACACUUUGGAAAAGGGAAGCACAGACGACAGACCAUUUCUAACACAACUGAUUAAUUAAUUUUAUAUAGGAACCCACUCGAGCAAAAUCGAAUCACUGUAGCUUGUCAGGGGCUUUACCCGCAAUCCUGAGUAAUUGGUACAAGGAUUUCCAGCAAAAAGAGGUGCUC
Molecule: long non-coding RNA, 382 nt
Filed under: Ricinus communis (castor bean)
Lineage: Eukaryota; Viridiplantae; Streptophyta; Magnoliopsida; Malpighiales; Euphorbiaceae
Description: long non-coding RNA (RCOM_LNC001894)
Source: RNAcentral